This 433-nucleotide ribosomal RNA is filed under the name uncultured bacterium. RNAcentral describes it as "partial 16S ribosomal RNA". It matches the Rfam family "Bacterial small subunit ribosomal RNA", at positions 29 to 507 of the family's 1533-position model. The record is from RNAcentral.
AACGAACGCUGGCGGCAUGCCUAACACAUGCAAGUCGAACGAGACCUUCGGGUCUAGUGGCGCACGGGUGCGUAACGCGUGGGAACCUGCCCUUAGGUUCGGAAUAACUCCCCGAAAGGGGUGCUAAUACCGGAUAAUGUCUUCGGACCAAAGAUUUAUCGCCUUUGGAUGGGCCCGCGUUGGAUUAGCUAGUUGGUAGGGUAAAAGCCUACCAAGGCGACGAUCCAUAGCUGGUCUAAGAGGAUGAUCAGCCACACUGGGACUGAGACACGGCUCAGACUCCUACGGGAGGCAGCAGUGGGGAAUAUUGGACAAUGGGCGAAAGCCUGAUCCAGCAAUGCCGCGUGAGUGAUGAAGGCCUUAGGGUUGUAAAGCUCUUUUACCCGGGAUGAUAAUGACAGUACCGGGAGAAUAAGCUCCGGCUAACUCCGUG